UACAGAGGUCCCAAGCGUUGUUCGGAUUCAUUGGGCGUAAAGGGUGCGUAGGCGGCGCGGUAAGUCGAGUGUGAAAUCUCGGGGCUUAACUCCGAAACUGCAUUCGAUACUGCGGUGCUUGAGGACUGGAGAGGAGACUGGAAUUCAUGGUGUAGCAGUGAAAUGCGUAGAUAUCGUAAGGAAGACCAGUGGCGAAGGCGGGUCUCUGGACAGUUCCUGACACUGAGACACGAAGGCCAGGGGAGCAAACGGG
RNAcentral lists this ribosomal RNA (253 nucleotides) under uncultured bacterium. RNAcentral describes it as "partial 16S ribosomal RNA". It matches the Rfam family "Bacterial small subunit ribosomal RNA", at positions 524 to 776 of the family's 1533-position model. The record is from RNAcentral.